GAUAGCAGCUCUCCAGUUGCUGACAUACAACGGUCCCUGUUCUUUGUUUCCAGUGGUGACAGGCAGAGCGGAUGGUGGCUGUUUCAGUGGGUGCUCCUUACAUUCACACCUGGUUAAGUGCCUUGUUCAAGGACCCCUUGGCAGGGUGGAUGCUUUAUCACCACGGGGAACUAAUCCUGGGCCCAUGACUGAAGAGCAAGGGACCUUUUGUUAAGUACCUGGGGCUCUAAUAAGAGCUAUACUCAGUAUUUGAAGGUCUUCCGCCGGGUCUUAUCAGCUUUCCUCAGACUACGGACUGUGACUCAUUCACGAGGCCGUCAUCUGACACAUCUGAAGCCCAUCGAUGUGGCUGUGAAUGUUAACUUCUGAGGAUUCAACUGCUGUCCAUCUCCAACUAAAUGCAGCUACAGUCGCUCUGCUCUCAAAAGACUUGUACCUUUCACAGACCUCUGAGUGUGUGUGUGUGUGUGUGUGUGUGUCUCUGAGUGUGUG
This is a long non-coding RNA of Trematomus bernacchii (emerald rockcod), 492 nucleotides long. RefSeq lists it as uncharacterized. Lineage: Eukaryota; Metazoa; Chordata; Actinopteri; Perciformes; Nototheniidae. The record is from RefSeq and is a predicted model, not a curated record. The transcript has 3 exons.